GAUGAACGCUAGCGGCAGGCCUAACACAUGCAAGUCGAGGGGUAACUAGAGUGAUAGCAAUAUUACUUUGGCUAGACCGGCGCACGGGUGCGUAACACGUAUGCAACCUACAUUAUACUGGGGAAUAACUUCGAGAAAUAGGCGCUAAUACCCCAUAACACUGCGGAGAGGCAUCUCUUUGCCGUUAAAGCUCCGGCGGUAUAAGAUGGGCAUGCGUCCAAUUAGCUAGUUGGUGAGGUAACGGCUCACCAAGGCUACGAUUGGUAGGGGUUCUGGGAGGAUUGUCCCCCACACUGGUCCUGAGACACGGACCAGACUCCUACGGGAGGCAGCAGUGAGGAAUAUUGCGCAAUGGACGAAAGUCUGACGCAGCCAUGCCGCGUGCAGGAUGACGGCCCUAUGGGUUGUAAACUGCUUUUGUACGGGAAUAAACCCUUCUACGUGUAGGAGGCUGAAGGUACCGUAAGAAUAAGCACCGGCUAACUCCGUGCCAGCAGCCGCGGUAA
Molecule: ribosomal RNA, 506 nt
Filed under: uncultured bacterium
Lineage: Bacteria
Description: partial 16S ribosomal RNA
Rfam family: Bacterial small subunit ribosomal RNA
Source: RNAcentral